UGGGGAAUUUUGGACAAUGGGCGCAAGCCUGAUCCAGCCAUUCCGCGUGCAGGAUGAAGGCCCUCGGGUUGUAAGCUGCUUUUGUACGGAACGAAACGACUCUCUCUAAUACAGGGGGUUAAUGACGGUACCGUAAGAAUAAGCACCGGCUAACUACGUGCCAGCAGCCGCGGUAAUACGUAGGGUGCAAGCGUUAAUCGGAAUUACUGGGCGUAAAGCGUGCGCAGGCGGUGAUGUAAGACAGAUGUGAAAUCCCCGGGCUCAACCUGGGAACUGCAUUUUGUGACUGCAUCGCUGGAGUGCGGCAGAGGGGGAUGGAAUUCCGCGUGUAGCAGUGAAAUGCGUAGAUAUGCGGAGGAACACCGAUGGCGAAGGCAAUCCCCUGGGCCUGCACUGACGCUCAUGCACGAAAGCGUGGGGAGCAAAACAGGAUUAGAUACCCUGGUAGUCCACGCCCUAAACGAUGUCAACUGGUUGUUGGUCCUUCACUGGAUCAGUAACGAAGCUAACGCGUGAAGUUGACCGCCUGGGGAGUACGGCCGCAAGGUUGAAACUCAAAUGAAUUGACGGGG
RNAcentral lists this ribosomal RNA (572 nucleotides) under uncultured bacterium. RNAcentral's name for it is "partial 16S ribosomal RNA". It matches the Rfam family "Bacterial small subunit ribosomal RNA", at positions 355 to 918 of the family's 1533-position model. The record is from RNAcentral.